This is a long non-coding RNA of Hyaena hyaena (striped hyena), 452 nucleotides long. RefSeq lists it as uncharacterized. NCBI's taxonomy places the organism in Eukaryota, Metazoa, Chordata, Mammalia, Carnivora, Hyaenidae. The record is from RefSeq and is a predicted model, not a curated record. The transcript has 3 exons.
UUCCAGUCCAGACGGACAAGACACAGUCUGACACAGACCAGGCCAGGGCAAAGGAGCCUGCACAGGUCUUUGUUUUCUGGGCCCAAGGGCAUCUUCUUGAGUGUACCCUGGGCCUGGAGAAAACUUUUGAUCUCCCAGAGAAGACCUGGAGGAGAAGCCCCCAAGGCAGCAAGCCCCGUGCCCACUGCUGAGGACAGCGAAGGAGGUGAUCCAGGCCUGGCCAAUCAGAGUGCCCCAUCCUGAGGCUGUGGUUGGUUCAGAGAUGGGCAUGGGACCCCCGUGGCCAGAAGCUUUUCUCCUGGAGGGGCAUUGGAACCCUCACUGCCACGUUCUUUCUUGGGCUUUUGAGCCAUAAAUCCCUUAUUGACCUUAGCUGGUUUGCCUUUUCACUGCUCUGCAGUUGGGAAGAGCCCUGAGCAGAUCAGAAGUAAUAAAGUACUUCCUGUGCGGCA